Camelus dromedarius (Arabian camel) is the source of this 5725-nucleotide long non-coding RNA. RefSeq lists it as uncharacterized. NCBI's taxonomy places the organism in Eukaryota, Metazoa, Chordata, Mammalia, Artiodactyla, Camelidae. The record is from RefSeq and is a predicted model, not a curated record. The transcript is spliced from 3 exons.
UAAACCAUGUAUUUAUCAUUCAGCUUAACAAUUAUUAACUUUAAAAAACCUAAUUACCAAAGCAUAUCCAAUCUUUUUUCAUCUGUACACUCCAUCGGGGUUAUUUUGAAGCAAAUCUCAGAUACCACAUAAUUUUGUCUCUAAGUACUUCAGUGUGGCUCUCUAAAAUAGUAAAACUCUUUAAAAAACCAUUAUAUCAACAUCACACCUAAAAUAAUUAAUUACUUGUUGGCAUCAAAUACCCAUUCAUUGUUAAAAUUUUGCAGAUUGUCUCCUUUAUUUUUUACAUUUGCUCAAAUCAGGACCCAAAGAAGGUCAAAUCAUUGCAGCGGAUUGAUGCGCCUCUCAAGUCUCUUGAGAUCUCCGAUUUUUCCUUUUCUUUUUUCCUCCCCUUCGGAAUAUAUUUGUUGGAGAAACCAAAUUAUUUGUCCCGUAGGCAUGGGUGUUGCUCACCGCAGUCACGUGCUAUCUUUUAGCAAGUGUCUCUGCUCUCUGGGCUUCUGGAGGUCAGAGCUCGGGGUCAGUUUUUUUUUUUUCUGUCAAGACCCCUCCACAGACGGUGCCGUGUGCCUCAGCUGGGACCACAGAACGCCCGGCUGUUCAUGAGCAGCGCCUCGGUUAUGCCGCUAGAGUUGGCGGGAUGGAGAUCUUCUCGUUUCUUAGACCCUCUUCUCUUCGGCCUGCUCCCUGCGGUGCUUCUGCGCUGGCUGUUUGAUGACCACAGUUCAGCUCACACAGGAAAGGCCAGGCGCACGCUCCGUUCUUUCCCCUUGUUUUCCUGUUUUCAAAAUACUAAGCUGGUUUCCUAGCAUCGCCCAGCCAGCCAGCUGCUGUGGCCGCUGUCCUGCCUGAGCGGCAGAGGGACAGACGGGUCUGAACAUGGAGGUGUGUUUCCGUCCGCGGCUGCUCUUAACUCUUCCUGAUGCUCAGACGGUCACAUCUUCCCGAGGGGCGCCUUGGAGAUGCGACGUUAACGAUGCCUCCCGUGCGUGCAGCCCUGAAGUGACGUGCAGCUGUGUGGACGUUAUCCAGCUCCUCUCACUCCGAAAGGCCUGUCAGGUUUCUGUGUGUGUGUUUCUUUUUUCUUCUAACUUUGUUGCAUGAGACACUCCUUUUCCCCAUCGCUGAUCCAUGGACGGUGGGUUUCUGUCACCUACACCGAGAACAUCCUAACUGGACAGGGCCCUGAGGGGAUCACACGAGGGGGACUCCUGGGUCCUGGCACGGCUCUGGGGUCAGUGGCUUCCCUGGCCCUCCCUCCCUCCCCACCAGGCCGUGGACUUGUGCAAGCCCAUGACCCAGCGCCGGGUGUAGGCCUGGAAGCCAUCAGGUCACUGAAUCGCUGCGUGACGAGGAUGAGUAAUGGGUGUCAGAGAAGGGGCCCAACCUGUGGGCCACCCAGGAUGUGGCACCUGAGGCCACCACUGUGUCCCCGUCAGCAGCAGGAGAGAUGCGGGCAUCUGUCCCCUCACACCGCCCACCCCAACCUGGACAAUGUGCACCUGGGCCCCAGUUACUCAAUGCUGGAAACCAGCCAAGCGUGGCCCCACCCUGGAGGCGAGUGGCUGGCACCACAAGGGGGAACGAGCAGGGUUAACGAGACGCAGUCGGAGCCUCUGCAGGGAUAAUGGGGUAUAAUGGGCUGCGACGGAGCACAGGCCGGUGGAUGGGUGUUCCCUGCCCCGCAGGCCCCAGGCUGGGUUCACACUUCACAUCGACAAUCCGCAGAGAAAACAGAUGUGAUUUUACAGGACAGUGGACCUAACUAAGCCGGCCCGUUUAGUCCUCUUCAGAAAGGAGGAAGGAAGCCACAGCUGGCCAGGGUACCUGACACUCUCCACCUGCAGCGGAAGACUUCAGAACGAGGCCAGAACGUUCCCGUGACCCCAGUAAAGCCUGCUAAUGCCCUCCGUCGGGGGAGCACGGUGCCGGAAGGCGCGACGCCGUGACCGAGGGCUGUGAGAACUGCUCCACGAGCCUCCUAAGUAGCGGGCAGGCCAUCGCUGGUGUUUCCCUUUCAGAUAGAAGAUGCACAGGGAACGUGGGCAAGUCCAGCGACGGGCCCGGCGCGGUGCAGCCAGGGUCGGCCAAGCCCGCUAGGGCCCUGGGGGAAACUGCCAAGCGCACGGCCUCGGGCUCCGCGCGGGCUUCCGGAACGCAGCCCGCCGGAGAGAAAAGUCAAGUGCUUCCUCCUUGCAGUACUGGGUCUUUUUAAUCUAAAAAUGAAUGACAUAAGCAAGUUUGCACAAGGCACGUUUUGAGACCUGCAGACAAGACUCUGGCAAGAAACUGGGGUGAGGGGGGCCUGGGGACCUGCUCCAGGUCACCCGUCCUGCUUCUGAUGAGCCCCCUGCCCCCACGUGCUGAAGAGAGGCGGGGUCCUGCCCUCAGACCUGAGCGGGCCCAGCUGGCUGGGGGUCAAACUGCAGGCGCGGAUGUUCUCACAGCUCUGGAGGCUGGACGUGCAAGGUCAGGGUGUCACGGGGGCUCCCCCAGAGGCCUCCCUCCUUGGCCUGUAGAUGCCGCCCUCUCCCCGUGUCCUCACACGGGCAUCCCUGUGUGUGUCUGUGUCGGAACCGUCUCUUCCUGUACGAGGGUCAGAGCCCACCUGUAUGACCUCCUCUUACCUUGAUCACCGCUGUAAAGCCCGUCUCCGAGUUCCGCCAUGCUCGGGAGUGCUGGGGGUUAGGACCUCAGCGUGUGAGUCCGGGGGACACAGUGCCGGUCGCAACACACUCUUAGAGGUGGUGAAGAUGGACGUCUCCUCUAAGGUGGGGCAGGUGGCUCGGCGGUCUGGGCGUUGGCUUCUGGUAACAGCAGCUGCGGUGGUUUCUACCAGCCCUCCUAGAGAAGCAGGACAGACAUGCUCUGUGUCUCGGACAUCAGAGAACUGAGACGGCACCGAGGAGCCGGGGGGAGGAGCCCAGGGAGGCGAGCCUGCCUGGGGGCUGCUUCUCCAACCAGGGGCACCUGCUGAUGCUGCGCUGGGGGCCGGGGGCUGGGGGCCUCUGGGUGCAGGGAACGGUCUGUUUCUUGACCCGCCGCUGGUUACACGGUGUGUUUAUCUUCUGGAGAUUCAUUGAGCUGAAUUCUGAUUCACUCUGACGAUUUGAGUACUUUUCUUUACAUGUGUUUUGCCUCAAAAAAAAAAGUCUUUUAAAAAAGACUUGGCAAUUAACCAACUAGAGUCCGAGGCCCAGCUCUGCUGCUUAGAAACGUGCCCUCAGGAAAGUUCCUCUUUUUCAAAACUUGAUCCGUUUAGGUGUAACAGGCAGAGCUAAGUGAUGGCCUCAGUGUUGUCCCGAGGUGUGUGUGAGAGUCCAGGCCACAGGCGCCUGGCACUGGUGGGGCUGGGCCUUCCCCAAGGACCUGCCCUGGGCCAGGCUCCGCCCUGCACCUUCACUGUGUCUCUCCCUGUGGUCUGUGAGCAGGGACACCAGCGUGCGGCCUGCUGGCAGCCUCGCUCUGGGUGGGCCCGGUGAGUACUUAGCAGAGCUGAGAUGCGGACUCAGGCCUCAUCCAGAACCAGGGCUGGGGACCCUUGUUUCCAUGGCCUGCUGAUCGCUCAGGACACGAAGAGUCCCACCCCACCUCCAGGUCUGUCCUCUGUGUCUGCUACGUGAACGCCACCUCAAGACUGACUUCCAGAAUUCGGUGUUGCUUCACAGCAGUUCCAGUUUUCCCAGACUAAACGUGCUUGUCCCCAUGAACUGGCUAGAAGCGGGAGGUAUUUAAUCCCAUCUCAAGUUGCCUAGUAAACAUUUCUACUGGAAAAUUCCAACCUUGCCUUGGACGGUCUGAGAGGAAAAGCAGCGUGUCCACACCCAGGCCAGCCCUGCCAGGGAGGCCAGAGGCCCCGAGGACGGGCUUCGUCGGCGAGGCCACCGCAGCGGCUCCAGCUGGAACUCGGAGGAGCCUGGACAGCGGCACUGAGGGAGGUGGACACUGGGGGCGUUGGCAGCGGCCACGGCUGCUCUGAAGCCCCAGGCCCGCCCCCCUUCCCUCCCCAACUCAUUUGUCCCUGUCUUUGUCCGCAGUCACAGCGUUUAUCCUGUGUCUGUUAUCCUGACUCCUUGCCAGACGGGGUCCCAGAGCCGGGCCCGGCCUUGGGCAGUGGGCAUCUCCAGUGUCUACGCAGCAUUUAGUACCUAACAGGUGCUUCUUGCCUGAAAUCACAUGGGGUGAGAUGGAAGUGGGGGAGGCCUGGGUGAGCAAAGGAGCUGGGGGGGUGAGUCACGGUGAGUAAGGCACACAGCACCUUGGGGGGCCCCAGCAGGGCUUUUAGCUUUUAAAUUAUUAUUAUUUUGGAAAGUUGAAAGGAUGUUGUCAGAUAGAUGCUCCCGUGGUUUGAGUCUGACGACGGUGAAGGCGGGUGGGCUUGGCAGAUGCCGGACUGGGAAGAGGGGCUGGGGGACGCGAAACCAGGAGGACCCUCAGGUCUUCGCACAAGGUGGCGCUCAUCUCUUGUCUUAGCUCCCAAACUCGUCCUCAAAUUGCUGCAGAGCAAUUAGGAGGGCCAUGAAGAGGUUCCGUGUCCACCCUCCUGCACCGCCUGCCACCUGCUUUGCAGCACUGUAGACGCCUGCACGUUGUUUUAUGUCCCCGUGAACCGGGGUACAGGGCUGUCCCACCCCGCACGGAACCAGGCCCUAAGCCAGCUUGAGCGCCGUGUUUGGGGUGGUGGCGCGGUGACUGGUUUGAGUCUCUUGUGUUGGAACCUGCGGCCUCAGCCAGGGGAGCCGUCGGCCUUACUCUGUAGUGCCGCGAGGUGACCUCUCACGCUGACCCGGUACUGCAGCCAGGCCUGGGCCUCUUCUUUGCAAGAGGAAGAACCUGCAUCUCUGAAUUGCACGCGAGGAGUUUUCUAAAAUGCAGACUGAGCAACCCAAGACAAACAGUGACGAAAUCACGUUUCUACCUCUUAAGCUUUUCCACUACCGCUGCGGCCAUAAUUGUUAACUAUCGGGGAUCAUGAACUUCAUCAGGUUCCUUCCCUUCACAUGAUUUUUCAGAAACCCCCAGGAGAACGCACUCCAGGCAUUUCACAGAACAAUGAGGCUAAUUCCAAAGAUGCUAACACGGCCUCCUUGACAAAUCUCAGAAUCUGCAGGUUGACCCUGUUUCCACCGGUUUUGAGAAAAUUCGCAGUGACCGUCUUUCCCCGCGUCAUGCCGCAGGGCUGAACAUCGAGGCUGGAGAUGCGAGUCCACUCGAUGUAGCAAUCUCGUUGCAUAAGGGAAAACAACACAUCUCCAACAGUGCGCCUGCAGGCAGUCUUUUAAGUGUCCCCAGCUGGUGAGAAUAACCUGUGGCGUUUCUGCGCCGCCUUCUAGUACCCAUGCCCUUACACCCAGGGAACGCUGUGGGCCCCUGGGAGGGGCCCAGAGGUGCGUCACUGUCCUGCUGUGUGGACGGGGGCAGUGACUCAGGAGUGCUCGUACAAGGUCACCAAACAGGUGAGUCUCAGAACUGGGCUUAAAACCCACCUCCCCUGGGUUCUGGCCUCCGCUGCUUCGCCACCCUUGUUACUCCUGGGGAACACGACAGCAUGCAGAAUCAGCAAAGCCUCGGCUUUUGUUCACGUUCUGGUCGGGAAUGUGGAUAGACAGAUGCGUCCCCACACAGGGGUCUGAUUAACUGUGAUGUGGGCUUCUGGGAGAAAGAGACAAGGCAGUGGGGUGCCCGGGAGGGAGGGGUGGGGUGCAGUUUUAAGGGGGCUCAGGCG